UAGGGAAUCUUCGGCAAUGGACGAAAGUCUGACCGAGCAACGCCGCGUGAGUGAAGAAGGUUUUCGGAUCGUAAAACUCUGUUGUUAGAGAAGAACAAGGACGUUAGUAACUGAACGUCCCCUGACGGUAUCUAACCAGAAAGCCACGGCUAACUACGUGCCAGCAGCCGCGGUAAUACGUAGGUGGCAAGCGUUGUCCGGAUUUAUUGGGCGUAAAGCGAGCGCAGGCGGUUUCUUAAGUCUGAUGUGAAAGCCCCCGGCUCAACCGGGGAGGGUCAUUGGAAACUGGGAGACUUGAGUGCAGAAGAGGAGAGUGGAAUUCCAUGUGUAUCGGUGAAAUGCGUAGAUAUAUGGAGGAACACCAGUGGCGAAGGCGGCUAUCUGGUCUGUAACUGACGCUGAGGCUCGAAAGCGUGGGGAGCAAACAGG
This 429-nucleotide ribosomal RNA is filed under the name Gemmatimonadota bacterium. RNAcentral describes it as "Gemmatimonadetes bacterium partial 16S ribosomal RNA". It matches the Rfam family "Bacterial small subunit ribosomal RNA", at positions 355 to 776 of the family's 1533-position model. The record is from RNAcentral. Lineage: Bacteria; Pseudomonadati; Gemmatimonadota.